UGCAGGCCAGAAGGUCCAAAGAUACCUAUAAAGCACCAGGCAUUUAAUCUACAGUUGGAGAUUAAAAUCAGAAACUUGGAAACUUACUUACAAGGACCUUUGAUGAUGGGUAUUUAAAAAAACUUGGAAUG
Molecule: small RNA, 131 nt
Filed under: Fukomys damarensis (Damara mole-rat)
Lineage: Eukaryota; Metazoa; Chordata; Mammalia; Rodentia; Bathyergidae
Description: Deleted in lymphocytic leukemia 1 conserved region 1 (ENSFDAG00000003598.1)
Rfam family: Deleted in lymphocytic leukemia 1 conserved region 1 (bases 1-75)
Source: RNAcentral